Molecule: long non-coding RNA, 1293 nt
Organism: Cyanistes caeruleus (blue tit)
Lineage: Eukaryota; Metazoa; Chordata; Aves; Passeriformes; Paridae
Source: Ensembl
GCAGAAACUAAAUGAGGGAUGUGGUCCUGGAAAGAGAAAACUAGGGAAAGGCCAAAGAGCAUUGCUGAGCUGGAUCCAGCCCUGGGACAUCACUCCAGCCAAGGAAGCUGUCAGCUUCUGAUUCUUGCCAUCUUGUGGUGUGGUGCUGCACUGCGACCAUCCCUCAGCUCCUCUGCAGAUACAGCAGCUGAAAAACAAUCUGCUUUCAUAAAGGUCUUAGAAGGAGUCCAAACUAUUCCCAGUCUGGAACCUGAGACUGACAGAAAUGACCUCUCUCCAAAUCUCUUCCUAGCCUGAACUCUUGGGCCAUUUCCUACUUGCAAAGCCACAGAGUCUCCACACUCUUCUUGAAGCUGUUCUUGGAUUUGAAAUACUCCAGUUCAUCAUAGUCUGCACUGUAUCCCAGACACUCAUUUACCAGAGCUAAGACCAUUUUUUAAAUAGUGCUUUGAGAGGGAGCUGUACAGUUCAAGCUCCUAUCCUCCUACCUCUUCUAUCUUAUCCUUCCAUCCUCCCCAGACUCUACACUUUUAGGCAGGAGAUAGUUAGAGGAGAGAUGGCAGACCUCUGGAACCCACAGGCUUUAAAGGAACCCCUCUACUCUUGUGGUGCUGUUUAUUUCAGCAGUCCACAUCCAGGAGCCAAGCCCCACAGAGUUACCACAGGUGUUUCCUAUUUUUAAUAACCUAAAUAUCAGGCAUGUGUGCUAUUAGUGACAUGCUUUUGUGCUUCAAGGUGCUGGAAAAUGAUUAAUGUGUAAGGGUGUCUACUGCCAGCGUCUGAUCCAAGUUCACUGACUCUCAGUUAACCGGUUAGGAAAAGUCAUGUCUCGUGCAGUAGUUCUGUCUCAGCAAUCUUCCUCACUGAGAGGUCUCCACGGAAGACAUCUGAGGCUUUGCUGACUUUCAGUUCUUCUCAGACCUUUCCAAUCACAGUAAGAGUUUAGUGAUUUUGACACUGGGGUCCUCUCUCUCCCAGUUUGCCAGAAUGAUGACUUCAUUCUGGGCUUGAAGAACUUGGAGGUCAGUCAAAAAGAUGUCUGGCUAACUGGCUUACCUAAGGCUGGCCAGCUGUGGCUGUCCUCGCUAUCUGAUAAGCCUGGGACCCAGUGAGAAAGAACCUGUGUGUAACAAGUCUGCAGGGUCAGUGGUCCUGUUUAACAGGAUUCCAAUAAUGAGUUUAGACUUUAUUUUCCCGGCUAUAUUGUGAGCUAAAAAAAAUAUCCUCAGUUUAUGUCUUAGUUUGUAGACCUGGUUACAAAAAGGUACAACAGAGGGAAUAUGGAAACAGAUG